GCCGCCUCCCGGCCGCCCUCCGCCCCGCGCGCUCGUUGAGGCCGGUGCUCCAGAGUGAAGAGCGUGGCGGUGCGGCGGUAGCGCAGGGCCCUCCUGCGGGGCCAGGCAGGGGCGGGUGGGCGCUCCUUGCCACCUUUCUGCUCUCCCUGCUGUCCGAGAAGUUCGUGCGGUGCCAGCCCAGCUCCCAGCUGGGGACAGAACAGGAAACGUCCCCGGCGAGCCUGGCGGGGGUGGCGGCAGGGGUGUCUGUCGCCUGCGCUGGGCAGGACGCGCGUCCUACCGGCCUCCCACUCCGCGGGCCUCACCAGCCACCUCAUUCCCGGAGCCCGGGCCGCCGAGAGCGCCGCGGAUGGACCUCAGGGAAGGCCUGGCGCGCCGCCUCCGGGAAGCCUUCCGGCCUUCUCCCUCCACCGAGUACUGGGGAGUCUCAGGCCACGGUGAAUGAAGAGCAACGGGCCGGAGAGACCUCGGCCUCUGCCCAGGAGCAGCGCCCAGCAACCCCGCCCACAGGGGACCCGGUGGACGCCCUGGUGGCCACUUUGCCAGGCUCCCCAUCUCCCAGCGAACCAGAGAGGAUUUCCGUUCCCCUCCUGCUUGGUGCCUAGCGCCAGGGCGGGGCGUGGGCUGAGCAGCCCCUCCCAUGGAGGGAGCGGCCAGUCUACAUAUUGGAGGUUAGAUCUGCCUGUCCCAGAAUUUCACCUGAAUCACAAAGCGUGGCGCCUCGGGGCCUGGCUCCCUUCACGUGGCCUGAUGUCUGCAUAUUCAUCCGCCGUGCAGUGUGUGUCCACGGUUCAUUUUGUGUUGCCACGGAGCAUCUCAUUGUGUGGCCCUAGCCCAGUGUGUUAAUCCGUUCACCUGCUGGUGGGUGUUGCAGUGGUUUCCAGCUCUUGGUUAUCACCGAGAAAGUGACUGUGAACUUCCGCACACACGUUUUGCUGAGGACAACUCCUUCCAUUUCACUUGGUUAUUAGGAGUGGAGUUGCUGGGUCCUAGGGAAGGGUCCACGUCUGACAAGUCCACCGUGGCUGCCCUUCUGGGCCUGUUGCUGCUGACUCACGUUCCCACGGCCACCUUUCCCUGCGUCUGGACGUAGUAGCAAUUUCUCGUUGGAUGUGGACAUUGUGCUGUGACCGCUUUGAUCACCUGGCAUUUUUGUUGGGUUGUUUUUGGCCUUCCUUUAAAGGACGCUGCGCUGUGUUCUGCGUGGAGUUCAGCUCCUUGCUCUUCACUUUGGUCUUCGUGUGGCUGGUUCUGAAGCCUCUCAGAGCAGGUCCAGCCCAGCCUUUCCUGCAGGAAGAGUCCAGCCCCACUCCCAGGACGGGCCCUGCUGGGUGGCUGCCAACAGCCCAGGAUCCUCCAGGACUCUCCCCCUGGCGGUUGGAACUCCUGUCUCCCACCUGUGAGUCCCAGGGGCCGGGGGUCCACAGCCCCCUAGGGUCCCAUCCAUGCUGAAGAGUCCACCUUCCACAUCCAUGGCGCCUGACUCCGGAGGCCUCAGAGGCCCUCAGGCAGCCUUCUGGAGCUUUCUGUCUGUGCAGUUCCCUCCCUUCUGGAGCUCUGCCUGCCAGGUCCCUCUGCGGAUGUCUCCCUGAGCACUGACCUCCUUCUCCUCAGCCCGCCAGGACUGCUGGACCUGCCUGGAUGCCCGCCCCUGCUCGGCCAUCCUCAAUGGGCCUCCACCCCAGGGCUGGGGUGACCCGGGCUGAAAACAGUUCAUCCUGAGUUUCAGUCUCGAGCUUUCGUGGCAGGAGGGAAACUGCUGGCUGUGUUACUCCACGGCGGCUGGAACGGACGGGACCAGCUCCCUUCAGAGGGGCACUUCGGUUGGUUCUAGAAUUCUCCUUUGCUAUGAAGGCUGCCGGGCACAUUCCACACCAGCCACCCUCCACCUCGCAUGUGCGUUUAUCGAUGAAACGCCACAGUGGGACCUCCUGGAUCAAAUAGUGCAAUGAUGUAAACGCUUAGUAUUGUCCUGGAACCUGCCUCCGAAAAGGCCGUGCGCUCCCGCCUGGGAUCCUGCUGCUCCUCCGCCGGCCGCCCCGCACACGCUCCGCUGCCUCUCUGGGCUGGCUCAGCCGUUGCAUGUUCCUGCGUGUGCACUGAGACGUCCACCCUGGCACGCUUCUUCCCCUCGGCACGUGGUCCCCACGCUGUGCCUGCCCAGCUCGGAGCCCAGAGGCCCCCGCAGCUCCCCACAACUUCAUGGUGCAGUGACCUGAGGCCUCCCCUGGCUCAGUCCCUUUCCCAGGGUCAGGGGUCCAUGUAUUGAACCAGGACGGGAGGUGCCUUCCCCCUGAGCUCUGUCCCUGCUGAACCUGGAAGGCAGCGCCCGGUGGCGGCUCAGACCCCCAGAGCCUCUUCUGAGGUCCGACACUCCUCUGCUCCCCC
RNAcentral lists this long non-coding RNA (2388 nucleotides) under Homo sapiens (human). RNAcentral's name for it is "HSALNT0289781". Lineage: Eukaryota; Metazoa; Chordata; Mammalia; Primates; Hominidae. The record is from RNAcentral.